Molecule: long non-coding RNA, 460 nt
Filed under: Parus major (Great Tit)
Lineage: Eukaryota; Metazoa; Chordata; Aves; Passeriformes; Paridae
Description: lncRNA (ENSPMJG00000014892.1)
Source: RNAcentral
CCCCAAACUUUUUUUUCCUUUUUUUCUUCAUGCAGAGAAUUAUGUUCUUCAUGACAGUGGCUGGUUUUACCUUCUGUCUUGUGCAGUGAGAGAGCAUCUCCAGGCUUUGCUAAUCAUAGCAAUACCCAAGACAAUGACAGUUCUUGCUCCUCUAUAUCUGACAUUUUUGGACUGCUCCUUUUGCACUUCAUCACACUUAUUUGCUUCACAUGGAGUGGUGUUAAACCUGUCUUCAAAAAGUAGUUGCCCAGGAGUUAACAGCUUAGGGGAUGGAAACACAUCUGAAAGUCUCCAGGAAGAUAAUACUUGGGAAGACAGGUUUAAGCUAAAUAAGAAAGCAGAUUUCAUCGGCCUUCUUGGAAACAACCUGUCCAGAGACUUGGGAUCCGUUUCUAAAUUUGGCCUUUGCAUUUUCCACGUACAGGAAGUGAUGAAAAUGGCAACAGUAAUCCCUGGAUAG